Molecule: ribosomal RNA, 922 nt
Filed under: uncultured bacterium
Lineage: Bacteria
Description: bacterial SSU rRNA
Rfam family: Bacterial small subunit ribosomal RNA
Source: RNAcentral
UUAGAGUUUGAUCCUGGCUCAGGAUGAACGCUAGCUACAGGCUUAACACAUGCAAGUCGAGGGGAAACGACAUCGAAAGCUUGCUUUUGAUGGGCGCCGACCGGCGCACGGGUGAGUAACGCGUAUCCAACCUGCCCAUCACUUGGGGAUAACCUUGCGAAAGUAAGACUAAUACCCAAUGACGUCUCUAGAAGACAUCUGAAAGAGAUUAAAGAUUUAUCGGUGAUGGAUGGGGAUGCGUCUGAUUAGCUUGUUGGCGGGGUAACGGCCCACCAAGGCGACGAUCAGUAGGGGUUCUGAGAGGAAGGUCCCCCACAUUGGAACUGAGACACGGUCCAAACUCCUACGGGAGGCAGCAGUGAGGAAUAUUGGUCAAUGGGCGAGAGCCUGAACCAGCCAAGUAGCGUGCAGGAUGACGGCCCUAUGGGUUGUAAACUGCUUUUAUAAGGGAAUAAAGUGAGUCUCGUGAGGCUUUUUGCAUGUACCUUAUGAAUAAGGACCGGCUAAUUCCGUGCCAGCAGCCGCGGUAAUACGGAAGGUCCGGGCGUUAUCCGGAUUUAUUGGGUUUAAAGGGAGCGUAGGCCGGAGAUUAAGCGUGUUGUGAAAUGUAGACGCUCAACGUCUGCACUGCAGCGCGAACUGGUUUCCUUGAGUACGCACAAAGUGGGCGGAAUUCGUGGUGUAGCGGUGAAAUGCUUAGAUAUCACGAAGAACUCCGAUUGCGAAGGCAGCUCACUGGAGCGCAACUGACGCUGAAGCUCGAAAGUGCGGGUAUCGAACAGGAUUAGAUACCCUGGUAGUCCGCACGGUAAACGAUGGAUGCCCGCUGUUGGUCUGAAUAGGUCAGCGGCCAAGCGAAAGCAUUAAGCAUCCCACCUGGGGAGUACGCCGGCAACGGUGAAACUCAAAGGAAUUGACGGAA